AUUUUUUUUCCUGCAUCAGAACUAUAUUUUUAAUAAGCUGAUGCAAACUGAGUUUUGCUUUCUCUAGAGCUAUGGGGUUCCUUCUGCUAAAUUAAGCAGUAAAUUAAGCAGUAAGUAUGCCUUCACAUACUAGUUGUUGCUGUUAUUCCAUGCAUGGAUUGAAACUUAAAGGGAAACUGUGCCUUAAACAGAAUAUUCAUUUUCUACAGAGUUAAAUUUCCUCUUUACAGAAUGAUCCAACUCCUUCCACAAAUAUUAAAAACAUGACUUAGCAGUUGUUCCUCUCUACACCAUUUGUAUCCUUGUCACCUUAUUUAGUGCACACUAUGUUUAGGCCAAAUGAAAUGUUAUGAUACUUUCUUUAUGACAUUGUCUCUCUUACUCUUAUAUUAAUUGCCUAUCACAGUUAAACGUUUCUUGUCAAGAAAAACACUUACAGCAACAUAUACUUUUUUAUUUCACAUCCAUUGGGGUCAUAAAACUUUUGUGGCUAAAAAUUCACAGUUUUUUGUCACUGUUAUUUAUAAUUGCAUUCCUUCCUUCCUUCCUCAGAGUCAUAAAUGUAUUGUACAUUUUGUAAUCUGAAGGUGAAAGAACCCUAUUAACUCCUGAGAAUAACUUCACUAAUUAGUUCUGCUUUGCAAGUCAGGAAAAAAAUGAUGGUUUGGCUGAAUCCAGGAAGAAAGGUAGGAAGAAGACAGCACCUAUUAACUCAUUAAAAUUCACUUUUUAAGAAAGCUAUGUAUCUUACUUAUUUUGUUAUAUGUCUGCAUGCAAUUUGUAACACAUAUCUAGGAACCAAGUUUGUAAGAGUCACUAUAAACCAGGUACUCACAUUCUUACUGAGGAUUCUCAAGCUUAACAGUAUUUCUGUACUUCCAUUCCAGGUGAAUGAAAUUGUAAUCUGACUGGAGAUACUAAAGUAAAUUAAUCUUAUCAACUGUGUCCUGUGCAUCAUGAAGAAGAAGCACAUUUCCAAGAAACUAACAUCAGUGCCCUGUGAGAGUACUCAAGUUUCUAGGUAUAGUGGUCCAUACUUGGGCAAGUGUAUGCUAGUUAUCCUGGAACCGUUGAAGAAUGAAGGGAGGAAUAAGGCCUAGAGGAACAUGUGAAAGGAAGAUUUCUUGAGACUGUUGCCCUACCAGCUGCUACAUUAUCUGAUUUUGAAUUUUCUGUUUGCCUUCUAUUGUAAACACUUCAUAGACAAUUCCAAAUUUGCCCCCAAACUAUUUACUUUAGUUUUUACAUAAGUCAUCAUCAUUUAAUCCAGCUAUAUUUUGCACUUAUAUUGAACUAUGAUUAUUUUUCUUUUCCAGUUUAUAUUUCAGAUCAUAGCUGCUUCAUCUGUUUGUUAUUUUAAUAAUAAUGUCAAAGUGCUAUUACACAAUUUUAAAUUCAGCAACAUUUUCUCCAGAUUUUAUCUGCAUUUGACUACCUGAAGCAAUCAACUUCAGGAGUAAAAAAAUAUUUAGUUUAAGAAAUCAUGUGGUAUUUCCACAUUUCUUAGUAUUGCUCAGUAUGCAGUAACAGAAGACAAUAGUUUUCUUAUUUAUUUAUUUUUUCUAGAUAUUUCUGAUCUGUGAAAUGAGCAGACAACACAUCAGUAUUGUGGAAAAAUAAACAUUAUCAGUUUUAA
This is a long non-coding RNA of Protopterus annectens (West African lungfish), 1636 nucleotides long. RefSeq lists it as uncharacterized. NCBI's taxonomy places the organism in Eukaryota, Metazoa, Chordata, Ceratodontiformes, Protopteridae. The record is from RefSeq and is a predicted model, not a curated record. The transcript has 2 exons.